CAUCAGAUGACUGAAAGCAAGUACUGGUCUCUUAAACCAUUUAAUAGUAAAUUAGCGUUUACUUCUGGUGA
Molecule: transfer RNA, 71 nt
Filed under: Indonemoura nohirae
Lineage: Eukaryota; Metazoa; Arthropoda; Insecta; Plecoptera; Nemouridae
Description: tRNA-Lys
Source: RNAcentral